GUCCACAUGGAAUCUCUGAAGGUGACCUCAUUUAGAAAUAGAGUCUCUGUAGACAUAAUCGGUUAGGUUGCAAUGAGGUUAUGCUGGAUGAGGGUGGGUCCUAAAUCUGGUGAUUUCGUAAGAAGAUGGCUACGUGAACAGAACAGAGACACAGAGGGAAGGGGCCGGUGGGGACUGAGGCAGAGAUUGGAGGCAUGCUGGAACAAGCCUACCUUCCAGGUGUAACCUCAGAGAACCCUCUGUACUCCCUUCCUUCUCACUGGCCCCCCUUUCUACUCCGAGAGUGCAUUUGUCACAGGACCUGAACACAUCCUUAGCUGCUAAUGUGUGAAAUUCGUGCCUCCAUUUUACCCGGAACUUGACCCAUCAGCAUCCCCAGCCUAGAGAAAAACACCAUGAAACCACUCGUCAGUGAUGCUGGCCCUCGCUUCAUCAACGCAGAUCUUAAGUCUUGCUAGGAGAGUGUGUUCAGAUCAACUAAGCAAUCGCUGAUAGGGAGUAGGCGGUCACCCCUGAUGAAUCCACUCGAGCAUUCCCGUCCCCCAAAGACUUUGAAUCCAGAGUCCCUGGAAGGAUAGGCUACUGAUAACGUCCGCGAGGCUUCACGCCCAGCAGGGAACCCCACACGGGGCUUGAGCUCACAACCUAGGAUGAAGACCUGAGCUGAGAUCAAGAGUUGGAUGCUCAACUGACCGAGCCACCCAGGCGCCCCAGCUGGGUUUUAACCACGUGGGAAAAAGCUCCGGGAGCAGAGAACAGGAAUGUUUCAUUCUUUCAACAGGGGGUGGGCCAAGUUGGGAAAGGUAGGACCAAGGAGAAGAUACUGGAGCUGAAGGGGAAUGGACAAGGAUCAAGGAUUCACUCUGGGGAAGAAAAGGAGAAAGGGCAACAGGGAAUUGAAGCCACAACUUCAAUAAAAGCCCAGGGGCAUGAAAGCGCCUAUUUUGUGAUGUGAUGUGUGUGUGUGUGUAUGCUAAGUCCCUAUAAUCAUGAAGAAAUGAAAGCAAAUGGCAUAGUCCUAAACUGUUUUUCAGUUAUUUCAAU
Felis catus (domestic cat) is the source of this 1044-nucleotide long non-coding RNA. RefSeq lists it as uncharacterized. The transcript has 4 exons. The record is from RefSeq and is a predicted model, not a curated record. Lineage: Eukaryota; Metazoa; Chordata; Mammalia; Carnivora; Felidae.